Molecule: ribosomal RNA, 326 nt
Filed under: uncultured Bacteroidota bacterium
Lineage: Bacteria; Pseudomonadati; Bacteroidota
Description: bacterial SSU rRNA
Rfam family: Bacterial small subunit ribosomal RNA
Source: RNAcentral
GAUGAACGCUAGCGGCAGGCCUAACACAUGCAAGUCGAGGGGCAACACGGGUAGCAAUAUCUGGUGGCGACCGGCGCACGGGUGAGUAACGCGUAUGCAACCUACCCAUAACAAGGGGAUAGCUCCCGGAAACGGGGAUUAAUACCCUAUAGUAUCCUGAUGGCGCAUGCCAAUGGGAUUAAAACUACGGUGGUUAUGGAUGGGCAUGCGUGCCAUUAGUUAGUUGGCGGGGUAACGGCCCACCAAGACAGUGAUGGCUAGGGGGUCUAAAAGGAUGAUCCCCCACACUGGUACUGAGACACGGACCAGACUCCUACGGGAGGCUG